UCAUCGCAUGGUGGGGGGUGGAAAGCCUUGUGCGGUCUUGGAUGGGCUCGCGGCCUAUCAGCUUGUUGGUGGGGUGAUGGCCUACCAAGGCGACGACGGGUAGCCGGCCUGAGAGGGUGACCGGCCACACUGGGACUGAGACACGGCCCAGACUCCUACGGGAGGCAGCAGUGGGGAAUAUUGCACAAUGGGCGGAAGCCUGAUGCAGCGACGCCGCGUGGGGGAUGACGGCCUUCGGGUUGUAAACCCCUUUCAGUAGGGAAGAAGCGCAAGUGACGGUACCUGCAGAAGAAGCGCCGGCUAACUACGUGCCAGCAGCCGCGGUAAUACGUAGGGCGCGAGCGUUAUCCGGAAUUAUUGGGCGUAAAGAGCUCGUAGGCGGCUUGUCGCGUCUGCUGUGAAAGCCCGGGGCUCAACCCCGGGUCUGCAGUGGGUACGGGCAGGCUGGAGUGCAGUAGGGGAGACUGGAAUUCCUGGUGUAGCGGUGAAAUGCGCAGAUAUCAGGAGGAACACCGAUGGCGAAGGCAGGUCUCUGGGCUGUAACUGACGCUGAGGAGCGAAAGCAUGGGGAGCGAACAGGAUUAGAUACCCUGGUAGUCCAUGCCGUAAACGUUGGGCACUAGGUGUGGGGGCCAUUCCACGGUUUCCGCGCCGCAGCUAACGCAUUAAGUGCCCCGCCUGGGGAGUACGGCCGCAAGGCUAAAACUCAAAGGAAUUGACGGGGGCCCGCACAAGCGGCGGAGCAUGCGGAUUAAUUCGAUGCAACGCGAAGAACCUUACCAAGGCUUGACAUGUGCCGGACCGUCCCAGAGAUGGGGCUUCCCUUCGGGGCCGGUUCACAGGUGGUGCAUGGUUGUCGUCAGCUCGUGUCGUGAGAUGUUGGGUUAAGUCCCGCAACGAGCGCAACCCUCGUUCCAUGUUGCCAGCACUUCGGGUGGGGACUCAUGGGAGACUGCCGGGGUCAACUCGGAGGAAGGUGGGGACGACGUCAAAUCAUCAUGCCCCUUAUGUCUUGGGCUUCACGCAUGCUACAAUGGCCGGUACAAAGGGUUGCGAUACUGUGAGGUGGAGCCAAUCCCAGAAAGCCGGUCUCAGUUCGGAUUGGGGUCUGCAACUCGACCCCAUGAAGUCGGAGUCGCUAGUAAUCGCAGAUCAGCAACGC
RNAcentral lists this ribosomal RNA (1162 nucleotides) under Sinomonas sp. S2B. RNAcentral's name for it is "bacterial SSU rRNA". It matches the Rfam family "Bacterial small subunit ribosomal RNA", at positions 183 to 1357 of the family's 1533-position model. Lineage: Bacteria; Bacillati; Actinomycetota; Actinomycetes; Micrococcales; Micrococcaceae. The record is from RNAcentral.